CCAAGUCUAGUUGCUGAAAAUGACUUGUGCUUCAACCCAAAUUCCUCAAGAAUUGCUGUAAUUGGGCCUCUUUGCUCAAUUCCCCUUUUUGUAUACACCUAAUGUAUAUCAGUGUAUAUCGGAUGUUUACGGACUCGUUUUUCUGCCUUCCAAACCUAUAGCAGCUCCAUUUUAACCUGUUUCAGCUUCCCUUACAACAUGUAUUCUCUUCCCGAACCCCACAUGGUUCCAAUUACGAGGUUGACUCAAUAAGACAGAGAAUGCAAGAGAUAGGAAUUGGGUCCAACUUGGACUCUGCUAACAUACCAUAAAUCAAACAAAAGUAAAAGAAGAGGAAUUAGAGUUGGACAAGAUCCAAAAAAAAAAGCAAAAAAAAAAAGCAUAAUAUUCGAAUCACAAGCAAAGAAACUAAGUGGUAAUUCACGUAAUUAAUAUUAAAUAGAUCACCAAUUUUAUUUUAUCUUUUAAUUGAAGAAGAAAAAAAAAUAAAAUCACUUCAACAAAUAUAAAAGGAAAAUAAACAUGGACCACUAAAGUAAGUGCUACUUUAUGGAAUUAACAAACAAGACAACUUUAUGCACAUGGCAAGCAUUUGACAAGUAAAAUAUGCACACUGGCAAAGAUUAUUCAUUAGCAAUAAGAGUGGAUAAAUUAUAAGUCAUAAUAGCAUAUGAACAACAGUUUAGCAACAUUCAAGUGAAAUAGUUUUGGGACGAAGAAUAGCAAAGACACAAAAUUAGUUUAAAUAACUAUGUAUAUCGUGAUUCCCAUAUUUAGCUUAGAGUGAAAGAGCGAAAAAACAUGGCGUUGAAUACUGGUUAUUAAUGCACAUGCAUAGCACCUAUGACUUAACUAAUACAAGUGUAGCAGUUUGAAACUUCAACAAAAUGCCGUUAUGCGGGCCAAAAAAUAAGAAUAGUAACAGUUCUAGUCAGAAAAAUCAUCUUUGACACGAACCGAACCAAAACUUAUUUAUUAUUGAAACUGAAUGCAUUCUAAGCAGUUGGAACAAGAACUCAACUAAAUCUAUCCAUAACACGAGAUUAGGCUAACAUUGAUAUGAAUCCAUGAUACCAAAUCCUAAAAAAAAUAAUCAACCUUUCCAGGUUCUUAAACAGCAAGGGAAAGUUAGUAAUAUGAAAGAAACAUAACACAUUUUGGAAAGAGAAUUGCAAACUCAUAUGCGAAAACAAGAAAUAAGCGGCAACACACACUCAUCCUAUAAUCACAACAUGAGAGAAACAAUUACAAAGCUCGAUGAGAAAACUUAAAAUACCACACAUAACUCCAAACACAAUAAUCCAGGUGCACUUGAAGUUAACAGAACAGUAAGAAGAUAAACAGGUUUUACCUUUUUGAGGGCAGCGACUGAGACAAACGAGUUGAAGAGCUUCCUACUACCACUGACCGCCACCAACAGAUGAACAAAAGAACUUGAAAGAAAAUUGAAAAUCCGAGGCUCAAACCUUCGUGGGUUCGAUUUCAGAGAAUACUAUUCUCCAACCUUCAAAUUUCAAUCCUCUGUCUGUUUGACUGUCCUCUCUAAAUGGCACCAAUACCAUGUAUUUAUAGCAAAAAUAGAGAUUUGAAUUCAAAUAGCUGUUUAAGCGGGAGAUGAGAGAUUGAUUGGAGAGAAUGGAAGGAAAAACAAGCAAGAUGAGAAGCUACCUCGAAAAUCCGGAUUCAAUGUGAUAUCUUCCGAUUCAUAUUAGAUUUGGUUGAGAUUUUUAUCUAAGCAAAAGUCAACAAACCUUGUUCCGAGAUUUGUAAUCUUUGAAAAUAGAGGGAGGCACUGUCAAUGGUGAUGGGCGGUGUAGUUGGAUGAAGAAAUUAGGGUUCUUGCUUGACUUUUGCGUCUUUGGGAAGAAGAAGGGGAGAGUAGCGCGUGAGAGUUGGAAAAGAAAAAGAAGAGAAAGGAAC
Molecule: long non-coding RNA, 1920 nt
Filed under: Solanum tuberosum (potato)
Lineage: Eukaryota; Viridiplantae; Streptophyta; Magnoliopsida; Solanales; Solanaceae
Description: long non-coding RNA (STUB_LNC001956)
Source: RNAcentral